UGUGGACAUUAUUACCCGUCUUUACUCCGUAGUAUUCCACAUACCACUUCACAAACUUCUUUAGCCCGGUCGCGAGAUCGGUCGUCGGCCGGUAGCCGAAGUCUUUCUCGGCCAAGCUCACGUUGGCAUGCGUGUAGGGCACGUCGCCGUUCUGCGGCAGCGUCACCACGUUCUUCUUCGCCUUCUUCCCCAGCAGCUCCUCCAGGAUCCCUACCAUCUUUGCCACCGGCACCGGCGACGUAUUGCCGAGGUUGUAGACCCGCAGCUGCGCGGGACCCCGCUUCUUGCUGCCGCUGCCGGUGCUCGGCUUCGCGGUGUCGAGCGCGCCGAGGCAGCCCUUGAC
Molecule: long non-coding RNA, 343 nt
Filed under: Musa acuminata (dwarf banana)
Lineage: Eukaryota; Viridiplantae; Streptophyta; Magnoliopsida; Zingiberales; Musaceae
Description: long non-coding RNA (MACU_LNC008848)
Source: RNAcentral